Molecule: long non-coding RNA, 1252 nt
Organism: Homo sapiens (human)
Lineage: Eukaryota; Metazoa; Chordata; Mammalia; Primates; Hominidae
Source: Ensembl
AUAGAAUAUGAAGAGAAAUGCAGCCCACCCACUCCUUCGGGGAGAGGAGAGUGCUGGUGGAGAAACUCGGGGCCUGAAUUUUUCUUGAGGAAUCUAAGAAGAUCCUUUGGCUUCAAGGCAGAUGGAACCUGGAUGGUUUAGGGGAGGAAUGGGACUUGACAGCGGCGCUCAAAGCUUCUGGGCAGGGCUUUGAUCUAAUUGACAGAAGUGAAAAUAGUAGACCUUGGCUCCUCUCUGCUCCCAUCUCUCUCCUGCUCAAAGUCCUUGGUCAGGCACUGUUCGUUCCUUCCAGCCCAAAGACUUGGGAAAGUAAUUUCUGCAGACCCCUCCAGAGCUGUUUCUGACCCCACAGACAAUCUGGUGGGUGAAGAAACCUGAAUUAGCGGAGACUUUCCACAAUAGCCCUCAAUCACUUCUCUUCAGCUCAGUUCCAGACCCUUUACAAAGUGCGUGAAGGCACCAUUCCCCAAAGCGCAGAAAGAAGGCGCAGCCUGCCAGCAGGACAGGACAUGUGAAAUCAGGGACGUCUGGGGAAACCCUCUAAGCAUCCCCAAAGAACAUUCAAGUCUGAGCCUCAAGGAGCCUCUGCGACUCGGUGUCUAGAUCCAGGAAAUGGAGAAUGAGCCGUGACUUUGGAUGCUUCACUCUUGUCCAUCAGGCUCGGAAUUGGUGAGCAUCUCCCACAUUACCGUCUCCAACGGAACAAGGUGCCCCAUUGGACAUUUCCUCUGCAUGGACCAGCCAUUCUCCAAAUCUGCCCCCAUGUCACCCCAGCUCCCCAUCGCAGUCACUUCUCACUCCUUGUCCCCUGUCCCCCUGAGUGACAGGACUUUUGCCAGUUAGGUCCUGUCCCUGUUUCUGAUCUUGGGUCCAUUCCCCAUGGUCCCUUUCUUGCUUGUGCCUUGGGAUCUCAGGCCUGUUGAAGUAGGAGGCAGGACUCAACUUCAGACCAGAUUGAAGACUGGCUGACACAGAAGAGGCACCAAAAGCACCUCUCUCUCCAUAAGACAUGCCCACCAGUGCCAUGACAGUUUACCAUUGCUAUGGCAAUGCCCAGAAGUUCUCACCCCUUUUCCAGACAUUUCUGCAUAAUCUACCCCUCAAUUGGCAUGUGAUCAAAAGUGGGUGUCAAAAUGACUGUGGAACUGUCCCUGAGCUGCUACUCUUGACAUGCUGGUUACAGGGUAGCCCGGCUCUGCAGGGACAGUCACGGAGCUGAAAAACUGCUGCCUAAUGAAGCUGUUUUCUUCUA